AAUCAACGCUGGCGGCGCGCUUAACACAUGCAAGUCGAACGAGAAAGAGGAGCGAUCCUUGAGUAAAGUGGCGUACUGGUGAGUAACACGUGGAUAUCUACCUCCUGGUGGGGAAUAACCUGGGAAACCGUGGGCUAAUACCGCAUAAGUUCGCGAGAAGAAAGGACGUAAGUUCGCCGGGAGGAGGAGUCCGCGGUCGAUUAGGUAGUUGGCGGG
RNAcentral lists this ribosomal RNA (216 nucleotides) under uncultured bacterium. Its description in RNAcentral is "partial 16S ribosomal RNA". It matches the Rfam family "Bacterial small subunit ribosomal RNA", at positions 32 to 256 of the family's 1533-position model. The record is from RNAcentral.